This 378-nucleotide long non-coding RNA is filed under the name Amborella trichopoda. Its description in RNAcentral is "long non-coding RNA (ATRI_LNC001805)". Lineage: Eukaryota; Viridiplantae; Streptophyta; Magnoliopsida; Amborellales; Amborellaceae. The record is from RNAcentral.
GGGACCUUGUAGGGGCCUUGAGUUCCAUACAUAAUCACUAUUAAACUAAUGAAGGCUAUUUUCAAUGGGAGCUCAUUUGGUUUUCUAACACAUUUAACAUGAUAAGCAGACAAUAUUUAGCAUUACAUGUAUGGAUGUAUUUAUUGAAUAUUGUCAGUUUACAUCCCCCUUGCGCAUCUAAUGUCCAACUUAACUAUUGCAGUUGAUGAUUUGGACUUGAAUAAUGUGUAGACUUUUACGGGGUGUUUCUUACCUGGCAAUUGGGAAACAACUAUGUGGUCCUGCCACAGGUUAGCAAAUUCAGUUUGUCACCCAAUAAUUAACUAGGGAAUGCAUGUGAAGAUAACUUUCUCAGCAUUCAUGGCUUCGGUAAUCCCC